This 497-nucleotide ribosomal RNA is filed under the name uncultured bacterium. Its description in RNAcentral is "partial 16S ribosomal RNA". It matches the Rfam family "Bacterial small subunit ribosomal RNA", at positions 28 to 507 of the family's 1533-position model. The record is from RNAcentral.
GAUGAACGCUGGCGGCGUGCCUAAUACAUGCAAGUCGAGCGAACGGACGAGAAGCUUGCUUCUCUGAUGUUAGCGGCGGACGGGUGAGUAACACGUGGAUAACCUACCUAUAAGACUGGGAUAACUUCGGGAAACCGGAGCUAAUACCGGAUAAUAUUUUGAACCGCAUGGUUCAAAAGUGAAAGACGGUCUUGCUGUCACUUAUAGAUGGAUCCGCGCUGCAUUAGCUAGUUGGUAAGGUAACGGCUUACCAAGGCAACGAUGCAUAGCCGACCUGAGAGGGUGAUCGGCCACACUGGAACUGAGACACGGUCCAGACUACUACGGGAGGCAGCAGUAGGGAAUAUUCCGCAAUGGGCGAAAGCAUGACGGAGCAACGCCGCGUGAGUGAUGAAGGUCUUCGGAUCGUAAAACUCUGUUAUUAGGGAAGAAAAUAUGUGUAAGUAACUGUGCACAUCUUGACGGUACCUAAUCAGAAAGCCACGGCUAACUACGUG